GUCGAGCGAUGAAGCACCUUCGGGUGUGAAUUAGCGGCGAACGGGUGAGGAACACGUGAAGAAUCUGCCUUCAACUCUGGGAUAACUCCGGGAAACCGGGGCUAAUACCGGAUAUGAGCCCUGAUCGCAUGAUCGGGGCUGGAAAGUUUUUCGGUUGAAGAUGACUUCGCGGCCUAUCAGCUUGUUGGUGAGGUAAUGGCUCACCAAGGCGACGACGGGUAGCCGGCCUGAGAGGGCGACCGGCCACACUGGGACUGAGACACGGCCCAGACUCCUACGGGAGGCAGCAGUGGGGAAUAUUGGGCAAUGGAGGAAACUCUGACCCAGCGACGCCGCGUGAGGGAUGAAGGCCUUCGGGUUGUAAACCUCUUUCAGUAGGGAAGAAGCGAAAGUGACGGUACCUACAGAAGAAGCACCGGCUAACUAUGUGCCAGCAGCCGCGGUAAUACAUAGGGUGCAAGCGUUGUCCGGAAUUAUUGGGCGUAAAGAGCUCGUAGGUGGUUCGAUACGUCGGAUGUGAAAAUCAGGGGCUCAACCCCUGACCUGCAUCCGAUACGGUCGAGCUAGAGUUUGGUAGGGGAGACUGGAAUUCCUGGUGUAGCGGUGGAAUGCGCAGAUAUCAGGAGGAACACCGAUGGCGAAGGCAGGUCUCUGGGCCAAUACUGACACUGAGGAGCGAAAGCGUGGGGAGCGAACAGGAUUAGAUACCCUGGUAGUCCACGCCGUAAACGGUGGGCGCUAGUUGUGCGAACCUUCCACGGUUUGUGCGACGCAGCUAACGCAUUAAGCGCCCCGCCUGGGGAGUACGAUCGCAAGAUUAAAACUCAAAUGAAUUGACGG
This 840-nucleotide ribosomal RNA is filed under the name uncultured Micrococcineae bacterium. Its description in RNAcentral is "bacterial SSU rRNA". It matches the Rfam family "Bacterial small subunit ribosomal RNA", at positions 61 to 916 of the family's 1533-position model. The record is from RNAcentral. Lineage: Bacteria; Bacillati; Actinomycetota; Actinomycetes; Micrococcales.